GACAAUCCCGUACUUGACACGACAACCGGUGCUCUGUGAUACACUUUCUACGAGUCGAGUUGUUUGGGAAUGCAGCUCAAAAUGGGUGGUAAAUUCCAUCUAAAGCUAAAUAUAGGCGAGAGACCGAUAGCGAACAAGUACCGUGAGGGAAAGAUGAAAAGCACUUUGGAAAGAGAGUUAAACAGUACGUGAAAUUGUUGAAAGGGAAACGAUUGAAGUCAGUCGUGUCUGUUGGUUUCAGCCGGUCCUGCCGGUGUAUUACCAACAGACGGGUCAACAUCAGUUUUGAGCGGUGGAAAAAGGUGGAAGGAACGUAGCUCCCCCGGGAGUGUUAUAGCCUUCUAUUGCAUACACUGCUUGAGACUGAGGAAUGCAGCUCGCCCUUUAUGGCCGGGGUUCGCCCACGUUCGAGCUUAGGAUGUUGACAUAAUGGCUUUAAACGACCCGUCUUGAAACACGGACCAAGGAGUCUAACAUAUCUGCGAGUGUUUGGGGUGUCAAACCCGAGCGCGUAAAUGAAAGUUGAACGUAAGGAACGAUCCGCAAGGAGCAGUUUCGACCGAUCUGGAUCUUUUGUGAUGGAUUUGAGUAAGAGCAUAUAUGCUGGGACCCGAAAGAUGGUGAAACUAUGCCUGAAUAGGGGGAAGUCAGGG
RNAcentral lists this ribosomal RNA (653 nucleotides) under Hannaella luteola. Its description in RNAcentral is "partial large subunit ribosomal RNA". It matches the Rfam family "Eukaryotic large subunit ribosomal RNA", at positions 214 to 857 of the family's 3401-position model. The record is from RNAcentral. Lineage: Eukaryota; Fungi; Basidiomycota; Tremellomycetes; Tremellales; Bulleribasidiaceae.